AGCGAACGCUGGCGGCAGGCUUAACACAUGCAAGUCGAGCGGGCACUUCGGUGUCAGCGGCAGACGGGUGAGUAACACGUGGGAACGUACCCUUUGGUUCGGAAUAACGCUGGGAAACUAGCGCUAAUACCGGAUACGCCCUUUUGGGGAAAGGCUUGCUGCCGAAGGAUCGGCCCGCGUCUGAUUAGCUAGUUGGUGGGGUAAUGGCCUACCAAGGCGACGAUCAGUAGCUGGUCUGAGAGGAUGAUCAGCCACACUGGGACUGAGACACGGCCCAGACUCCUACGGGAAGCAGCAGUGGGGAAUAUUGGACAAUGGGCGCAGGCCUGAUCCAGCCAUGCCGCGUGAGUGAUGAAGGCCUUAGGGUUGUAAAGCUCUUUUGUCCGGGACGAUAAUGACGGUACCGGAAGAAUAAGCCCCGGCUAACUUCGUG
RNAcentral lists this ribosomal RNA (433 nucleotides) under uncultured bacterium. RNAcentral's name for it is "partial 16S ribosomal RNA". It matches the Rfam family "Bacterial small subunit ribosomal RNA", at positions 29 to 507 of the family's 1533-position model. The record is from RNAcentral.